UGGGGAAUUUUGGACAAUGGGCGCAAGCCUGAUCCAGCAAUGCCGCGUGCAGGAUGAAGGCCUUCGGGUUGUAAACUGCUUUUGUACGGAACGAAAAGCCUCUCUCUAAAUACAGGGGGGUGAUGACGGUACCGUAAGAAUAAGCACCGGCUAACUACGUGCCAGCAGCCGCGGUAAUACGUAGGGUGCAAGCGUUAAUCGGAAUUACUGGGCGUAAAGCGUGCGCAGGCGGUUUUGUAAGACAGUGGUGAAAUCCCCGGGCUCAACCUGGGAACUGCCAUUGUGACUGCAAGGCUGGAGUGCGGCAGAGGGGGGAUGGAAUUCCGCGUGUAGCAGUGAAAUGCGUAGAUAUGCGGAGGAACACCGAUGGCGAAGGCAAUCCCCCUGGGCCUGCACUGACGCUCAUGCACGAAAGCGUGGGGAGCAAAACAGGAUUAGAUAGCCCUGGUAGUCCACGCCCUAAAACGAUGUCAACUGGUUGUUGGGGGA
Molecule: ribosomal RNA, 489 nt
Filed under: uncultured bacterium
Lineage: Bacteria
Description: partial 16S ribosomal RNA
Rfam family: Bacterial small subunit ribosomal RNA
Source: RNAcentral